This 517-nucleotide ribosomal RNA is filed under the name Rhipidolestes amamiensis. RNAcentral describes it as "partial 16S rRNA". It matches the Rfam family "Bacterial large subunit ribosomal RNA", at positions 1831 to 2597 of the family's 2925-position model. Lineage: Eukaryota; Metazoa; Arthropoda; Insecta; Odonata; Megapodagrionidae. The record is from RNAcentral.
GUCUUCUCGUUUAUUUGGGAAGUCUGACCUGCCCAGUGAAAUAAUUAUUUAACGGCCGCGGUAUCUUGACCGUGCAAAGGUAGCAUAAUCAUUAGUCUUUUAAUAGAAGACUGGAAUGAAGGGUUUGACGAAAUAUUAACUGUCUCAUUUUGAUAUUUUAAAAUUUAAUUUUUGAGUUAAAAAGCUUAAAUUUUAUUGGAAGACGAGAAGACCCUAUAGAGCUUUAUAAUUGAAAUAUAUAGUUAAAAUUUGUUUAAUGAAAUAAUAUUAUUAUUUUAAUUUUUUUGUUGGGGUGAUGGUAAAUAUAAAUAUAACUUUUAUAUAUUAGAAUUGUUCAUUUAUUUAUGAUUAUAAGAUCCAUUAUUAUUGAUCAUUAGAACAAGUUACCUUAGGGAUAACAGCGUAAUCUUCUUUCAGAGUUCAAAUUUACAAGAAGGCUUGCGACCUCGAUGUUGGAUUAAGAUUAUAAUUGGGUGUAGCAGCCUAAUUAAUAGGUCUGUUCGACCUUUAAAUUCUU